AGGAAGCACUAGCCCUUUUGGAUUGUUCUCACAGUCACAUUUCUUACAAAGGAUUGAUCAAUGCACUGCACCUGUUAUAAUCUAAUAAUCUUCCUAAUCUAAUAAUCUUCUGAUUCACUCCGAGUGGCAGCCAGCCAGCCAGCCACCACACUCAACAUUAUGAAUGAAGUAGGACUAUUCCAAAUAGGUCUAUUAGCAACAUUAUGAAUGAAGUAGUACUGUUCCAAAUAGAUCUAUCAGCAACCAUCCAUGGCCAGCCACAUGAAGUUGUCACACAUAUCCUACUUCUCGCCAUCAUACAACAAUGUUCACUCAUUCCUUCUUCAUGCCUGGUGUCUCCCAUUCCUGGAAUUGUAUCAAGAAGUUCAAUAAUUGUAGCUAUGCU
This 385-nucleotide long non-coding RNA is filed under the name Oryza brachyantha (malo sina). Its description in RNAcentral is "long non-coding RNA (OBRA_LNC003195)". The record is from RNAcentral. Lineage: Eukaryota; Viridiplantae; Streptophyta; Magnoliopsida; Poales; Poaceae.